This 445-nucleotide ribosomal RNA is filed under the name uncultured bacterium. RNAcentral describes it as "SSU rRNA". It matches the Rfam family "Bacterial small subunit ribosomal RNA", at positions 26 to 518 of the family's 1533-position model. The record is from RNAcentral.
AGAACGAACGCUGGCGGCAGGCUUAACACAUGCAAGUCGAGCGCCUCGCAAGAGGAGCGGCAGACGGGUGAGUAACGCGUGGGAAUCUACCCAUCCUUACGGAACAACUCCGGGAAACUGGAGCUAAAUACCGUAUACGCCCUUAGGGGGAAAGAUUUAUCGAGGAUGGAUGAGCCCGCGUUGGAUUAGCUAGUUGGUGGGGUAAAGGCCUACCAAGGCGACGAUCCAUAGCUGGUCUGAGAGGAUGAUCAGCCACAUUGGGACUGAGACACGGCCCAAACUCCUACGGGAGGCAGCAGUGGGGAAUAUUGGACAAUGGGCGCAAGCCUGAUCCAGCCAUGCCGCGUGAGUGAUGAAGGCCCUAGGGUUGUAAAGCUCUUUCACCGGAGAAGAUAAUGACGGUAUCCGGAGAAGAAGCCCCGGCUAACUUCGCGCCAGCAGCCGC